CCGCACCGUGUGUUCAAAGUCGUCAUGCCCUGUGAGAUAAACCCAUUUUAUAUGCUGGGUCAAGUCGAGACUCUGCAGCUGGAUCCACGAGGGGGUCUUGGAAGUGGCAUCCACCAUGCCGACUUGUAGCAUCGGAUGUCUCAUGACUAUGUCCACGAUAGCAACCUCAAAUGCCUCCUCCAACUGGGUCCGCGACUCUGCAGGCGCAAGUCGUGGCGGGAUUACAUAACGACAAGAGAGGGUAGUGCCACGGUACUGGUCUAGUAUAUACAUGGCCAGUUGGUACGUCUCGCUUGACGCAGUGUUUGUUAGUUAGAAGCCAAAGCCACGAGAUGACAUGCCAGUAUACGAGGAUAGGUGAACGCCUACUUGAUUCCAAACUUACGAAGCACUGUUGUCUCUGCGCCAUGGUUCAUUUUGUUUGCCAUGGCUCGUUGCCGGUGUGGCGAAUCAAGAGGAGACGGGGCUGGUGGAUAAUGGAUUGCAGCCA
This 490-nucleotide small RNA is filed under the name Histoplasma capsulatum var. duboisii H88. RNAcentral describes it as "Histoplasma capsulatum H88 hypothetical RNA". The record is from RNAcentral. Lineage: Eukaryota; Fungi; Ascomycota; Eurotiomycetes; Onygenales; Ajellomycetaceae.